Molecule: long non-coding RNA, 1518 nt
Filed under: Homo sapiens (human)
Lineage: Eukaryota; Metazoa; Chordata; Mammalia; Primates; Hominidae
Description: HSALNT0292005
Source: RNAcentral
GUAGCGCCUCCGCUGAGGGACCCGGCGGGAACAAACCGCCGCCGCGGCGGGAGCUGGGCUCGAGUGGCCGGAGGCGGGCCCUUGUCUUCGCCGCCGCUCCUGCACCCUGUGCUCCCUGAAGCCGCCGCCUUCAGAACGCUCAGCCCCUGGAUGUUAAGGCUCACUCGGGCGCCAGCCGCAGCCAGGGAAGUGGCGGCGGUCCCCACCCGUCCUCUCCCCAAGGCGGCGCCCGGGCCACCGGGCCGAAGCGCAGUGGGAGCGCGAGGCUGAGACGCCGGGACCCACGCCGCCCCAGCGCGGCCCGCCGGCGCCCACCCGAGCCCGCACGGCUUCCAGCCCGAGGGGAGACGCAUUCGAGUGAUCACCAGGAGCGAACUUGGCGCCCGCAGCCUUGGGCCUGGGAGAGCCUGUUCGGCGUCUUGCAGCAGUGCCUGCGAUCCCGCGUGAGUCCGUCGCUCCCUCCGCGAAAACCUGGACUCUUUCCCAGAAGCCUUGGGCUCCAGCACCAUGCCUGCUGCAGCCGCCAAAGAGCGGGAAGCCACAGGCUCUGCGGGUCUUGGUUACAGCGUCUCUGGUCGUGCCGGGCCUCCUUCUGCAUCUGUUCCACGGCCCGGCCAUCUCCCUCGUGCAGCCCAGAACAAUUGGGAGGAAGCGUUGGCGGGCGGAGGGGGAUGCCUGUUGGGCUUUUCCACUAGUUACUGAGUGUUUUUUGCGAAGAGUACGUUGCUAUCAGUGGCGUCCGGGUCGUCUCUCCCUCUCUUCCUUUUGGUCCCCAUAAAUGAGCUGUUCUCGGCUCUGGGAAAGAAAAGCCCUCCAGCGAUUAUGCGGAUCUAAUUAAGUCAAUCAGGAAACUGCCGGAGAGCGGCACUGGCUUGAAGCGGAGUUUGUCCUGAGGCACAGCGGAACGAUUGCACGCGGCCCUUUUCAGCGGUUCGAGCUCGGCCAGCGCCGGGCUGCAAACGGAAGCCUGAGCUGGGCUUGGGGAACUACGCCCGCAGAUUUCUCUAAUUUUAUUCACAAAACUGGACACCCUCAGGGAAAGCGGCAAAGCCGGCGCGAGCCUCCUUCCCACUCUGGACCUAGCUGCAGCUCCAAAGCGAGAUAGCUGUCUAGCCUCAGCCGGUACAGCUCCCGGCCCCUUUCUCCACCCGGAUCUUCGGCUGCUCAGAAGCGAUCAGCUCCCUUAGCCCAGGUGGGAGGCGGGAGACUCCAGAUCCUGUGACCCGCGGAGGCAGACCUCAGACAUGUUCCCCAUGCACAGAAAUGACUGGGGCUCCAGUGUGUGCACCUUCAACUCUGAAGCCCACCUGCCCACUUCAGGCGCUGGCGCGGAGAUAACCACCACGCGUCUGCCGGGCAAAGUUCGAGAGUGAAUUUACAUCUUCUCUUUCCGCUACUCCUGGCCACUGUCCCCUCCCAGCCCCAUCUCCCCCGCCCCCAACCCUGGACUAUGUGGUAGGGGACUCGCUUAAGCACCCAAGUACUGCGCGGUUGUUGAGACCAAGGCGAGCUGCGGAG